This 87-nucleotide transfer RNA is filed under the name Streptomyces mashuensis. RNAcentral describes it as "tRNA-Pro". Lineage: Bacteria; Bacillati; Actinomycetota; Actinomycetes; Kitasatosporales; Streptomycetaceae. The record is from RNAcentral.
GUCGGCCGUGCCGGUGCCGGGCGUGGUGGCGCCGUUGGGGCCGGUGCCCGGCGUGGUGGUGCCGUUCGGGCCGGUGGUGCCGGCGCC